This 1239-nucleotide long non-coding RNA is filed under the name Homo sapiens (human). RNAcentral describes it as "long intergenic non-protein coding RNA 1210". The record is from RNAcentral. Lineage: Eukaryota; Metazoa; Chordata; Mammalia; Primates; Hominidae.
GCUCGCGGUAAGCAGGAUCCACCCGAGUAGCGGGGACCGAAUCCCAUCUUUCUUAUCUCUCGAAGACUCCUUUCAGGCUGAGAUCAGAGAGGGAGGGAAAAAGAAGAGAGAAUCAUUGUUCUUCUUUUUUUAAUUUAAUAUACCAAGCCACCAGCUCAGUUAGAAGGCUUCAUUUGCUCUGAGUUAUCAUUGAGAACUAAAUGGAGAAGAAAAGAACUGAAGGCCUGAAGAUAUGUCAUCUGUAGAAAAGCCCCAUCCUUCUGCAGGUGGCCUCUUCUCAAGCUUUCUUGGCAAAUCAAGAGCUUCUGCCUUUUGGAGGACAUCCUCUUGACCUCCCACCCAUAUCAGCUCUUAGAGGACAUUCCACAGGAACAUUGCCUUCUUGUCCUCCAGUAUUUUUUAUGGAAACAGAAAUUAGGUUAUCUUCCUUAUGCUCUAGAUGGACAUCUGAAAUCAUCAAACCCUUGAGAGAAACAGCCCUCAUUCUUUUAUGAGACAACCUGGAAGAAAACAGGACUCUGAAGAUUUGUCUCCAUAUUCUCUGGAAAGAUGUACUCUGUUUGCAAUAAGAGGGAGCCACAUGGUUUAUUAGAUGGUUAUUAAUUGAGCAUUCUGUGCAAAGAAGUUUGUGCCUUAGAUUUAGAAUUCCACCCUCAGUUGGAAUACAGAUGAUCCCUAACAAGUCACAUGAAAAAAUGAACUGUGGAGCCAGAAGAGUGAGUUCUUGGAGAACUAAGGGCCAGAGACCUGUGAGCAAGAUUUGAUAAUUUUAUAAAAAUUAAAAGACGAUUUGAAAUGUUAUUGGUCUUACUAAAACUUUUACUUGUGAACUGCAAUUGAUGACAUGAUCACUUGUGCCAAUUAUAAUUUUAUACCAAAGGACUGCAGAGCAUUGGAUGGGUUUGUUGGGCAGGUUUCUCACAAACGCUGACAGAAAGGUAUGACGAAGGAUGGGAGGACAAACUGGGGGGGUGCCAAGUAGAAAAACAGAAGCGAUGGCUAAGUGCUCGUCCUGGACUCUGCCCUUUGAUAAGGGACUGAAGGUCCCUUAUGAUCUUCUUUCAAAUUCCACCGUCACAGUUUUAGUCACAUCCAUCUAUAAUAUUAUUUACUAUCAGACUUUUCUUUAAAUUGACUCGCUUUUUCACUUUAGCCUUAUCCCAAGCAAUAAUGCAUAUAAAUCAUAAGUUUGUUGUAAUAGAUUUUUUGUAAUACUAAUCAAAAUUAAAUUUAUUCCCC